This 499-nucleotide ribosomal RNA is filed under the name uncultured bacterium. RNAcentral's name for it is "partial 16S ribosomal RNA". It matches the Rfam family "Bacterial small subunit ribosomal RNA", at positions 28 to 507 of the family's 1533-position model. The record is from RNAcentral.
GAUGAACGCUGGCGGCGUGCCUAAUACAUGCAAGUCGAGCGAACAGACGAGAGUGCUUGCACUCUCUGACGUUAGCGGCGGACGGGUGAGUAACACGUGGGUAACCUACCUAUAAGACUGGGAUAACUUCGGGAAGCCGGAGCUAAUACCGGAUAAUAUUUAGCUUCGCAUGAAGCAAUAGUGAAAGACGGUUCUGCUGUCACUUAUAGAUGGACCCGCGGUGUAUUAGCUAGUUGGUGAGGUAACGGCUCACCAAGGCAACGAUACAUAGCCGACCUGAGAGGGUGAUCGGCCACACUGGGACUGAGACACGGACCAGACUCCUACGGGAGGCAGCAGUAGGGAAUCUUCCGCAAUGGACGAAAGUCUGACGGAGCAAUGCCGCGUGAGUGAAGAAGGUUUUCGGAUCGUAAAACUCUGUUGUAAGGGAAGAACAAGUACGUUAGUAACUGAACGUACCUUGACGGUACCUUACCAGAAAGCCACGGCUAACUACGUG